This 116-nucleotide ribosomal RNA is filed under the name Escherichia coli. The record is from RNAcentral. Lineage: Bacteria; Pseudomonadati; Pseudomonadota; Gammaproteobacteria; Enterobacterales; Enterobacteriaceae.
UCUGGCGGCAGUAGCGCGGUGGUCCCACCUGACCCAAUGCCGAACUCAGAAGUGAAACGCCGUAGCGCCGAUGGUAGUGUGGGGUCUCCCCAUGUGAGAGUAGGGAACUGCCAGAC